AUACAAAUUACUUGGAAAUCUUUUUAAAAUGCAGAUCUGACUCAAUGGGUUCAGGGUGGGGUCUGAGCUUCUGCAUUUCUAACAAGCUCCCAAGUGAUCCUGAU
This 104-nucleotide microRNA precursor is filed under the name Marmota monax (woodchuck). The record is from RNAcentral. Lineage: Eukaryota; Metazoa; Chordata; Mammalia; Rodentia; Sciuridae.